RNAcentral lists this ribosomal RNA (1094 nucleotides) under Trachonurus sulcatus (bristly grenadier). RNAcentral describes it as "partial 16S ribosomal RNA". It matches the Rfam family "Bacterial large subunit ribosomal RNA", at positions 792 to 2519 of the family's 2925-position model. The record is from RNAcentral. Lineage: Eukaryota; Metazoa; Chordata; Actinopteri; Gadiformes; Macrouridae.
CAAAAGAGUGGGAAGAGCUUUGAGUAGAGGUGAUAAACCUACCGAGCCCAGUGAUAGCUGGUUGCCUGAGAAAUGAAUAGGAGUUCAGCCCUUAGUAUUUCCCCCCCCCGCCCGUCUUAUAAAUCUAAAGGAAGACUAAAGGAAAACUAAGGAGUUAGUCAAAAGGGGGACAGCCCUUUUGAUCUAAGAAACAACUUUUACAGGUGAAACAAGAUCACAAUAAUUAAGGAUUAAGUCCUAAGUGGGCUUAAAAGCAGCCAUCUUAAAAGAAAGCGUUAAAGCUCUAAACUAACCUUACCCCUUUUAUACUGAUACUCAAUCUUCUCCCCUGCCCCCUACCAGGCUGUCUUAUGCCCCCAUAAGAACAAUAAUGCUAAAAUGAGUAAUAAGAAGAAACCCUCUUCUCCCGGCAUACGUGCAAAUCGGAUCGGACCUCCCACCGAUUACUACCCGACCCCAAACCCAGAGGGACAUAAGUUAAAAAAACAAGAAAACGACUUAAUAAAAAUCGUUAACCCUACACAGGAAUGCACCAAGGAAAGACUAAAAGAGAGGGAAGGAACUCGGCAAACCCAAGCCUCGCCUGUUUACCAAAAACAUCGCCUCUUGACUCACACACAUAAGAGGUCUCGCCUGCCCACUGACUAUAUGUUAAAUGGCCGUGGUAUUCUAACCACGCAAAGGUAGCGUAAUCAUUUGUCUUUUAAAUGAAGACCUGUAUGAAUGGCAAAACGAGGGCUUAACUGUCUCCCCCCUCCAGUCAAUGAAAUUGACCUCCCCGUGCAGAGGCGGGGAUACAACUAUAAGACGAGAAGACCCUGUGGAGCUUUAGACCUAAAAUAAACUCACCCAACAAAAACAAGCACAAUUCAAAACAGGUGAAAAUUAUUGAAGUGUCUUUGGUUGGGGUGACCCUGGGGUAGCACACAACCCCCAUGAAGAUAGAGGGCACCCCCCUCAACACUUAGAGCCGCCCCUCCAAGUAACAAAACCUUUGACUUUAAAAAUGACCCGGCGCAGCCGAAUAACGAACCAAGUUACCCCAGGGAUAACAGCGCAAUCCCCUCCAAGAGCUCCUAUCGACAAGGGGGUUU